UGGGGAAUAUUGGACAAUGGGGGCAACCCUGAUCCAGCAAUGCCGCGUGUGUGAAGAAGGUCUUCGGAUUGUAAAGCACUUUCGACGGGGACGAUGAUGACGGUACCCGUAGAAGAAGCCCCGGCUAACUUCGUGCCAGCAGCCGCGGUAAUACGAAGGGGGCUAGCGUUGCUCGGAAUGACUGGGCGUAAAGGGCGUGUAGGCGGUUUACACAGUCAGAUGUGAAAUCCCCGGGCUUAACCUGGGAGCUGCAUUUGAUACGUGUAGACUAGAGUGUNAGAGAGGUGUGGAAUUCCCAGUGUAGAGGUGAAAUUCG
This 316-nucleotide ribosomal RNA is filed under the name uncultured bacterium. RNAcentral's name for it is "partial 16S ribosomal RNA". It matches the Rfam family "Bacterial small subunit ribosomal RNA", at positions 355 to 690 of the family's 1533-position model. The record is from RNAcentral.